AUUGAACGCUGGCGGCAGGCCUAACACAUGCAAGUCGAGCGGAUGAAGGGAGCUUGCUCCUGGAUUCAGCGGCGGACGGGUGAGUAAUGCCUAGGAAUCUGCCUGGUAGUGGGGGAUAACGUCCGGAAACGGGCGCUAAUACCGCAUACGUCCUGAGGGAGAAAGUGGGGGAUCUUCGGACCUCACGCUAUCAGAUGAGCCUAGGUCAGAUUAGCUAGUUGGUGGGGUAAAGGCCUACCAAGGCGACGAUCCGUAACUGGUCUGAGAGGAUGAUCAGUCACACUGGAACUGAGACACGGUCGAGACUCCUACGAGAGGCAGCAGUGGGGAAUAUUGGACGAUGGACGAAAGCCUGAUCCAGCCAUGCCGCGUGUGCGAAGAAGGUCUUCGGAUUGUAAAACACUUUGGGUUGGGAGGAAGGGCAGUAAGUUAAUACCUUGCUGUUUUGACGUUACCAACAGAAUAAGCACCGGCUAACUUCGUG
RNAcentral lists this ribosomal RNA (484 nucleotides) under uncultured bacterium. RNAcentral describes it as "partial 16S ribosomal RNA". It matches the Rfam family "Bacterial small subunit ribosomal RNA", at positions 30 to 507 of the family's 1533-position model. The record is from RNAcentral.